UACAGGGGGCGCAAGCGUUGCUCGGAAUCACUGGGCGUAAAGCGUACGCAGGCGGACCGGCAAGUCGGGUGUGAAAGCCCGGGGCUCAACCCCGGAAUUGCAUUCGAAACUACCGGUCUUGAGUACGGGAGAGGUGAGUGGAAUUCCUGGUGUAGAGGUGAAAUUCGUAGAUAUCAGGAGGAACACCGGUGGCGAAAGCGGCUCACUGGCCCGAUACUGACGCUCAUGUACGAAAGCGUGGGGAGCAAACAGG
RNAcentral lists this ribosomal RNA (253 nucleotides) under uncultured bacterium. Its description in RNAcentral is "partial 16S ribosomal RNA". It matches the Rfam family "Bacterial small subunit ribosomal RNA", at positions 524 to 776 of the family's 1533-position model. The record is from RNAcentral.